GAUGAACGCUGGCGGCGUGCCUAAUACAUGCAAGUCGAGCGAACGGACGAGAAGCUUGCUUCUCUGAUGUUAGCGGCGGACGGGUGAGUAACACGUGGAUAACCUACCUAUAAGACUGGGAUAACUUAGGGAAACCGGAGCUAAUACCGGAUGAUAUUUUGAACCGCAUGGUUCAAAAGUGAAAGACGGUCUUGCUGUCACUUAUAGAUGGAUCCGCGCUGCAUUAGCUAGUUGGUAAGGUAACGGCUUACCAAGGCAACGAUGCAUAGCCGACCUGAGAGGGUGAUCGGCCACACUGGAACUGAGACACGGUCCAGACUCCUACGGGAGGCAGCAGUAGGGAAUCUUCCGCAAUGGGCGAAAGCCUGACGGAGCAACGCCGCGUGAGUGAUGAAGGUCUUCGGAUCGUAAAACUCUGUUAUUAGGGAAGAACAUAUGUGUAAGUAACUGUGCACAUCUUGACGGUACCUAAUCAGAAAGCCACGGCUAACUACGUG
RNAcentral lists this ribosomal RNA (497 nucleotides) under uncultured bacterium. Its description in RNAcentral is "partial 16S ribosomal RNA". It matches the Rfam family "Bacterial small subunit ribosomal RNA", at positions 28 to 507 of the family's 1533-position model. The record is from RNAcentral.